CCCUUAGAUGUCCGGGGCCACACGCGCGCUACACUGAAGGAAUCAGCGUGGCUUCCUCCCUGACCCGAAAGGGUUGGGAAACCCGUUGAAUCUCCUUCGUGAUAGGGAUUGGGGCUUGAAAUUGUUCCCCAUGAACGAGGAAUUCCCAGUAAGCGCGAGUCAUAAGCUCGCGUUGAUUACGUCCCUGCCCUUUGUACACACCGCCCGUCGCUACUACCGAUUGAACGGUUUAGUGAGGGCCUCGGAUUGGUCUCGGCCCGCUCUUUACCGGGCGGCGCCGUUGGUCGAGAAGACGCUCGAACUUGAUCGUUUAGAGGAAGUAAAAGUCGUAACA
RNAcentral lists this ribosomal RNA (334 nucleotides) under uncultured eukaryote. Its description in RNAcentral is "partial 18S ribosomal RNA". It matches the Rfam family "Eukaryotic small subunit ribosomal RNA", at positions 1470 to 1796 of the family's 1831-position model. The record is from RNAcentral.